RNAcentral lists this ribosomal RNA (1470 nucleotides) under metagenome. Its description in RNAcentral is "bacterial SSU rRNA". It matches the Rfam family "Bacterial small subunit ribosomal RNA". The record is from RNAcentral.
AGAGUUUGAUCCUGGCUCAGGACGAACGCUGGCGGCACGCUUAACACAUGCAAGUCGAACGAGAGAAGAGGAGCUUGCUUUUCUGAUCUAGUGGCGGACGGGUGAGUAACACGUGAGCAAUCUGCCUUUCAGAGGGGGAUACCGAUUGGAAACGAUCGUUAAUACCGCAUAACAUAAUUGAACCGCAUGAUUUGAUUAUCAAAGAUUUAUCGCUGAAAGAUGAGCUCGCGUCUGAUUAGCUAGUAGGUAAGGUAACGGCUUACCAAGGCGACGAUCAGUAGCCGGACUGAGAGGUUGAUCGGCCACAUUGGGACUGAGACACGGCCCAGACUCCUACGGGAGGCAGCAGUGGGGGAUAUUGCACAAUGGAGGAAACUCUGAUGCAGCGAUGCCGCGUGAGGGAAGAAGGUUUUAGGAUUGUAAACCUCUGUCUUCAGGGACGAAAAAAGACGGUACCUGAGGAGGAAGCUCCGGCUAACUACGUGCCAGCAGCCGCGGUAAUACGUAGGGAGCGAGCGUUGUCCGGAAUUACUGGGUGUAAAGGGAGCGUAGGCGGGAUCGCAAGUCAGAUGUGAAAACUAUGGGCUUACCCCAUAAACUGCAUUUGAAACUGUGGUUCUUGAGUGAAGUAGAGGUAAGCGGAAUUCCUAGUGUAGCGGUGAAAUGCGUAGAUAUUAGGAGGAACAUCAGUGGCGAAGGCGGCUUACUGGGCUUUAACUGACGCUGAGGCUCGAAAGCGUGGGGAGCAAACAGGAUUAGAUACCCUGGUAGUCCACGCCGUAAACGAUGAUUACUAGGUGUGGGGGGACUGACCCCUUCCGUGCCGCAGCAAACGCAAUAAGUAAUCCACCUGGGGAGUACGACCGCAAGGUUGAAACUCAAAGGAAUUGACGGGGGCCCGCACAAGCAGUGGAGUAUGUGGAUUAAUUCGAAGCAACGCGAAGAACCUUACCAGGUCUUGACAUCGUAUGCAUAGCUCAGAGAUGAGUGAAAUCUCUUCGGAGACAUAUAGACAGGUGGUGCAUGGUUGUCGUCAGCUCGUGUCGUGAGAUGUUGGGUUAAGUCCCGCAACGAGCGCAACCCUUACUGUUAGUUGCUACGCAAGAGCACUCUAGCAGGACUGCCGUUGACAAAACGGAGGAAGGUGGGGAUGACGUCAAAUCAUCAUGCCCCUUAUGACCUGGGCCUCACACGUACUACAAUGGCUGUCAACAGAGGGAAGCAAAGCCGCGGGGUGGAGCGAACCCCUAAAAGCAGUCUUAGUUCGGAUUGUAGGCUGCAACCCGCCUACAUGAAGUCGGAAUUGCUAGUAAUCGCAGAUCAGCAUGCUGCGGUGAAUACGUUCCCGGGCCUUGUACACACCGCCCGUCACGCCAUGGGAGUCGGUAACACCCGAAGCCUGUAGUCUAACCGCAAGGAGGACGCAGUCGAAGGUGGGAUUGAUGACUGGGGUGAAGUCGUAACAAGGUA